CAGUAGCCACGGGAAUACGAAGGGGGCUAGCGUUGUUCGGAAUCACUGGGCGUAAAGGGCGCGUAGGCGGUUUGUACAGUUGGAUGUGAAAUUCCUGGGCUUAACCUGGGGGCUGCAUUCAAUACGUGCAGGCUUGAGUGUGGAAGAGGGUUGUGGAAUUCCCAGUGUAGAGGUGAAAUUCGUAGAUAUUGGGAAGAACACCGGUGGCGAAGGCGGCAACCUGGUCCAUAACUGACGCUGAGGCGCGAAAGCGUGGGGAGCAAACAGGAUUAGAUACCCGCGUAGUCCCUGUCUCUUAUAC
RNAcentral lists this ribosomal RNA (301 nucleotides) under uncultured bacterium. Its description in RNAcentral is "partial 16S ribosomal RNA". It matches the Rfam family "Bacterial small subunit ribosomal RNA", at positions 509 to 807 of the family's 1533-position model. The record is from RNAcentral.